Molecule: small RNA, 100 nt
Filed under: Salmonella enterica subsp. enterica serovar Enteritidis
Lineage: Bacteria; Pseudomonadati; Pseudomonadota; Gammaproteobacteria; Enterobacterales; Enterobacteriaceae
Description: partial RtT sRNA
Rfam family: RtT RNA
About the family: This family represents a bacterial cis-regulatory element known as RtT RNA. The exact function of RtT is unknown although it is thought that it may be involved in changing the cellular response in relation to amino acid starvation.
Source: RNAcentral
AUAUCUCUCUGUACGGGAAGGAUGAGAAGCUUCGACCAAGGUUCGAUUCGAACGCAGCGAGAAAGCGUUGCCGCAGGCAACGACCCGAAGGGCGAAGCGC